Molecule: transfer RNA, 72 nt
Filed under: Anguilla anguilla (European eel)
Lineage: Eukaryota; Metazoa; Chordata; Actinopteri; Anguilliformes; Anguillidae
Description: tRNA-OTHER
Source: RNAcentral
AUCAGCGUCGCGUAGUGGGUAAGGAACUGGGCUUGUAACCGAAAGGUCACAGGUUCGAUUCCUGCAUUGUUG